AUAUAACAAACAACAUCGUGGCAUAUAAGUCAGAGUAUAGAGGUAAU
RNAcentral lists this non-coding RNA (47 nucleotides) under Trypanosoma brucei brucei. The record is from RNAcentral. Lineage: Eukaryota; Euglenozoa; Kinetoplastea; Trypanosomatida; Trypanosomatidae.